Molecule: long non-coding RNA, 1279 nt
Filed under: Mus musculus (house mouse)
Lineage: Eukaryota; Metazoa; Chordata; Mammalia; Rodentia; Muridae
Description: long non-coding RNA chr2:52040404-52041683
Source: RNAcentral
AAAAGGCUUUGUUUAUAAUUAUCUGGGCAGAAUCAAGUAUGCCAGUGCAUGUCUUUAAUGCCAGUACUUAAGAGGCAGAUGGAGCUCUGUGAGUUCAAGGCCAACCUGGUCUACAUAGUGUGUUCCAGGUCAGCCAGAGCUAGAAAAUGACAUUGUCUCAAAAAAGCAAACAGUCGCCAGGUAGUGUUUGGCGCAUGCCUUUAAUCUCAGCACUCGGAAGGCACAAGGCAGGUGGAUUUCUGAGUUCGAGGCCAGCCUGGUCUACAGAGUAAGUUCCAGGACAGCCAGGGCUAUACAGAGAAACCCUGUCUCAGGAAAACAAAACAAAACAAAACAAAACAAAACAAAACAAAACAAAAGAGCAAACAAUCAAAACAAUUUCAUAUAGACCUGUUCCUGAGGAAGAAGUUCUGCAAUCACCAAGACUCCAGAGGCUGAGGGAGGACAAUAGAGAGUUCACGGUAAGCAUAGGCUACAUAGUGAGACCUCAUCAUAAAUUAUUUCACUAACUGUACUAAUUAAAUAGUCAAAUAUCGAGAAUUCUAUAUGUUUGCUCUUUUGGCAAAAUAGAAUAGAAACAUUUAACAAACUGAAAUUAUAGCCCCUGAAGUCUGUGACUUCUGUUAGUAUCAUAUUACCGAGACACACGCCACCAGUUUCCAACAGUUUUACUUGCCUGCUUGUUUUUAAAUUACUGGUAAGACAGUUUGAAAUUAUUUUCUAAAACUCUUUGUUGACCUCUCCCCAGAAAUGUAUUUCAAGUUUGGAGUAAAAUAUUAAGAAAAACAGUUUGAAGAAGAGUUGUCAUCCAUUGAAAUAAUUUGUGCAAUUUUUUGUAUAGAAUUUUUUUUACUCUAAAUUCUUGAAAUAUGGAUAGAUUUCAACUUUUUAAAUUAGCAACAAUGUUCAUAAUAAAUAAUCAAAUUAAGCAUGCAUCCUUUUUCUUUAGCAAAAGGCAUAGUGUCUCAGAUAAAAAUACUUAGUUCAGUGUGGUGGCAUGCAUCUUUUAAUUUCCUGUGCACUGGUGUUUUGUCUGUGUGUAUGUCUGUGUGAGGGUGUUGGAUCCUUUGGAACUGGAGUUACAGACAGUUGUGAGCUGACAUGUGGGUGCUGGGAAUCUCCUCGUUCUCUGAAAGAGCAGCCAGUGUUCUUAACUGCUGAGCUAUCUCUCCAAGCCCCAGUGGCACAUUUUAAUUUUCCUACUUAAAGGGCUGACACAGGAGAAUCACAAGUUCUAGGCCAGCCUGGGCUAUAUACCAAGACCCUAUGAGGAAGAAAG